Molecule: ribosomal RNA, 253 nt
Filed under: uncultured Bacillota bacterium
Lineage: Bacteria; Bacillati; Bacillota
Description: uncultured Firmicutes bacterium partial 16S ribosomal RNA
Rfam family: Bacterial small subunit ribosomal RNA
Source: RNAcentral
UACGUAGGUGGCAAGCGUUGUCCGGAAUUAUUGGGCGUAAAGAGCGCGUAGGCGGGAUAGUCAGUCUGUUGUAAAAGUGCGGGGCUCAACCCCGUGAUCGCAAUGGAAACAGCUAUUCUUGAGUGCAGGAGAGGAAAGUGGAAUUCCCAGUGUAGCGGUGAAAUGCGUAGAUAUUGGGAGGAACACCAGUGGCGAAGGCGACUUUCUGGACUGUGUCUGACGCUGAGGCGCGAAAGCCAGGGGAGCGAACGGG